ACUACGGGUGGCAGCAGUGAGGAAUAUUGGUCAAUGGACGCAAGUCUGAACCAGCCAUGCCGCGUGCAGGAAGACGGCUCUAUGAGUUGUAAACUGCUUUUGUACGGGGGUAAACGCAGAUACGUGUAUCUGUCUGAAAGUAUCGUACGAACAAGGAUCGGCUAACUCCGGGCCAGCAGCCGCGUGAAUACGGAGGAGUCAAGCGUUAUCCGAAUUUAUUGGGUGUAAAGGGUGCGUAGGCGGUCGGAUAAGUUAGAGGUGAAAGCCCGGGGCUCAACCUCGGAAUGGCCUAUGAUUCUGUUCGGCUAGAGAGUAGUUGCGGUAGGCGGAAUGUAUGGUGUAGCGGUGAAAUGCUUAGAGAUCAUACGGAACACCGAUUGCGAAGGCAGCUUACCAGGCUACUUCUGACGUUGAGGCACGAAAGCGUGGGGAGCAAACAGGAUUAGAUACCCCUGUAGUC
This 460-nucleotide ribosomal RNA is filed under the name uncultured bacterium. RNAcentral's name for it is "partial 16S ribosomal RNA". It matches the Rfam family "Bacterial small subunit ribosomal RNA", at positions 338 to 795 of the family's 1533-position model. The record is from RNAcentral.